GAGGCAGUGGCGUGACGAGGCGGCUACGUUGUCCCAUGUGUAAGUGUUCUGUGGUUGUCCUCGAGGGAACCCCCGACGCCACCGUUGAGCACGGCGUCGACGCGCGACAGAGCCGCGCUUCCUUUGGCUGUGAGAAUGGCUGAAGGCUGGAUGGCCAGUGUUCCGAGUGGCUUUCCUUCCCAAGCUGCCUUGGGGGCAACCAAUGACUGCUCUCGGCAACUCCAUCUGAGGGUGCAGGCGGACACCCUGCAUGGUGAGACGAUGUUCGUGUGCGGCAGCACCCCACAGCUGGGAGAGUGGCACGUGUCACGUGCACUUGAAAUGCAUCUUGAGGACCCUGCAAUGAAAGUGUGGGGUGUGAAAGUGUCGGCACCGCUGCACAAGACGCUGGAGUUCCGUUACCUGAUAGGCAUCUUGCUGGAGAAUGGCAACGUCAUUGUGCGCAGAUGGGAGACAGUUAGGCAUCCACGUACAGUGAGCGCCAAUGAAUUGACUGUCGAUCGCAAUGCCGCCGUCGACAUGUUUGGCAACUACGAUGGUGAGGACAAAGUUGAACCUGGCUGGCUGACUUCAGAGUCCAUAGUCCACCUGAAGAUGUUUGACAACCCAAUUGUGCUGUGGAAGCGCAAGUACAAGUCGGUCCCCAUCUCUUACCACAUCACCCCGAUUGACCUCUCUGUUCGGAACAGUGAUGCAGGACCAGUAUGUGAAGAGAGUGACCAGCACAGCAAUAUCUCCGACUUUGAGUGCAUCAAGUGGCCCGUCAUUGAAAUAGCCGUUAUGAAAGAAGGUGAAUAUGAGUUCAAGAAACAGAAUCAGUUUGGAAACCUGUAUGUGCCUGAGGACUUUGUCAUCUUCCAGGCACAGGUUAUGGACUCGUCCAAUAUUGCAUACAUGGUGGACUUCUACAUGCAUCGGAGUACCGAUGAGGCGAGCAUUCCCGAGCACAUUGGUUUCAGCUACAUUCUGCCGGGGAACAUGAAGGAGACCUUUGGGACGUGCACUGUGCCCAUUACUGGCACCCGGCACCAGCCUGUUGGCCAGCUGAACGUGUCCUACCUGAUCAUCAGGCCUCUGGCCAAUUGUUCAUGCAACUGCCGAGAGACUUACUCAAAGUUCUGGAAGAAGACAAAUCGGAGUCUGGAUGUGGGGCACAGAGGUGCCGGCAAUGCACGCCGUACAGACAAGGUCGAAAAUGUGCUGGAGAACACUGUUGCUUCUUUCAACUAUGCGGCAAAGCAUGGUGCAGACAUGGUGGAACUGGAUGUGCAGCUCUCGAAGGACAAGGUUCCAGUCAUCUACCACGAUUACCACAUAUGCAUCUGCAUGAAGAAGCGCAAGUCUCCCCUGCAAGAGGAGGAAAAGCUUCAGCUGGCAGUGAAGGACCUGACAGUAGCACAGCUGCAGCGGCUCAAGUUGUCACCUUCGGUGCAUGACAGCCACCACUACGACUUUCGGGAAGAUGACCUUGAGGACAACCAGCCAUUCCCAACGUUGCAGCAUGUGCUCGAAGCAGUUGACCCCUCGGUUGGCUUUAAUGUUGAGAUAAAGUGUCCCAUGCAGUUUCGUGAUGGCACAUGGGAAAUGGACCUAAACUUUGACAUGAACCAGUACGUGGACAUCAUUCUGCGCACUUUGCUCGACUUCAGUGGGAAGCGCUACAUUAUUCUCUCCUGCUUCCACCCAGACAUCUGCACCAUGAUCCGGCUUAAACAGAACAAGUACCCACUUCUCUUCUUGACCCAGGGCCAGACAGAGAAGUACCCGCCCUACUUGGACACACGCACCUCUACGAUCCAAAUGGGCACCUACUUUGCCCUCUGCACCCACAUUUUGGGAGUCAAUGUGCACACGGAAGAGCUGCUGCGUGAGCCCAGUCUCAUCACUUUCGUGAAGGAGCACAAGCUGAUCCUUUUCUGCUGGGGCGAUGACAACAACCACAUCGACACCAUCGCUAGUCUAAAGCGCAAGGGCGUCGAUGGUGUGAUCUAUGACAAGCUGGACUUGUUUAUAACACGGGGUCCGGAGAACGAGAGUGUGUUCCACGUUCACCCUGGUUCAACGGCAAGUCUGCUCGAGGCGGCCAGCAGCAGCUGCUCCAGGGAGAACCUGCCCGAGAACGGUGUGUCUUCAGCUGCCUCUUCCUGCAGCGUGGGUGGCUCCUAGCCCCUUUUGCUCCGCUCAUUGAGUGUGCAGACAGGGGCUGAGGAGAGGAAGAACGAGUGGGUGGGGGAGCUUCUCGUCUUCCUUGCGCCGUCCUUCUCGUACUUCCGGCUGUCAUUGGCACUGGAGAAUUGCUUGCCUUCCUCUCGCUUUCUGAAUGUCGGGUGCCGCUUCGAAAACCUGAGUGCAAACGAGUCCUGGGUUCGUUAUCUUGUUUUCAUCUUUGUUGUUGAUCUGUACUCCUCAGAGACAGCAGUCUGUGAAGGCCAAUGGUGACUCUGCAAGUUGCUGAGAUUGCUUCCCUAGCAUGUGAUGAGCCAUUGAUAUUGUGCUAUUGGACGCAGCUCUGCUGGUUGGCAGACUGUUGGCUGAUAGUUCUGUGAGCAACACUGUUUAUACUUGUGUGUUAAUGACAUACUGUCAGUUGUGAGACAAAAAAGCGGCAUUAAAGGCUGGUAACAUUACAGGUCAUUGUUGAGGGGCGGUACUAUCAGCUAGAGUGCUGUCAAAUGUGUAGGGCUCCUUAAGAAUACAGGCUUUGUCAGUUAGGAUGCAUACAUUGUCCCACCUGUACGUCACCUAAUUCUAAUUCAUCACCAUCGGCGCAGCUUCCCGAUAAUAGUUGCUACCACCUGUUUCAGAAAAUUGUAUGCGUAAAAAACGCCUAAAAAAUGUGUAUAGAGCCUCUGUUAUGUAAAUUUUCUUGUAAAGUAACAUUUUGGCUACCCUCCUCCGCCUUUUUUUUUUGUUGGUGUAUUGACGCCAUCUCGUUGCACUUUUUUUAUCUAGGAAUCUUGUAAUGGUUGCUAUUAACCAAUUUUUGCAAUGAAACCCACUGUAUUCCCACAUUGACACAUGCUCAGUUAAAACGUGACACCAUUUAGUGCCUGCUUUGCCAUAGACUCUCAAUAAUUGUAGAGUUGAUAAAGGGUUUCGUGAGUAGUGAUGCAAUUCUUCUGGCCUGUCAACCUGCCUGCACGUUUGAGUGUAUAUGCACCGUUUUCUGCACUUGUGUGCUUUGGUAUUAAGUAUAUAUGCACAUUAUUUUCAGUAUUAAGUAUGAGACCUAGAUGGGUGAGGAAGAGGGACUCUUACGCUACUGCACAGGAAAAGACUACAUGCGUCCUCAGUGAAUGAUUCGGCUGUCUUCCAUUAUUCUCUUCCUGUCCAUAAUUACAAUAUGAGCAGCCAUGCACAGUGCCGUUAAUGUUUACUUCUUGAAGUGCCUGCUUGUGUGGAGGGUUCGUGGAGUUGGUACUAGAACCUCUAUGCAACUCGGCAUAGUUGUAUGGAAUUGCUCGUCCUUUUUAUCUUAUUUGCAUCAAACGCCCAUGUGCAAAGAUAACAUACUCUCACCAGUCCUGCAAUUGGGGAUAUGUUAAAUUCUGCAAGUGCUCUUCCCCGUAGAUUUCGUUUUAACCACAUUUGACGGGGACGUUAUACUAGAAGUGCAAAUAAGGAAAGAGCUAGCACCGCUGUUCAUGCCACCAUGCAAUGCACUCUUUGGGAGCUUACCCUCAGUUCAAUGGUGUGAGGAGCAGAAAGUCGGCUAUUUUGUGUUGCCCACCUUAGUGUGGGAAAGCCGACUUGCAAUAUUUCGCAAAUCCUUUAUUUCACACGUUUGGGAUGAUGCACUUGCUGUUCAUUGUCAUGUUUAAACAUGAAUCUGAUAGUUGUCAUAAAAGCUUCCCACGAGCAGAGUGUCCAUCACUGGCACAUGCUGGCAGUGUGUGCAGAGUAAAAAAGGUUAUGUUUUAGCUGAAAUGAUGGCUUGCCUACAGUAUGAGUCUUUUCAUAACGCUGUUACAGAUUUCUAUGACAGAUGGAUGCGAAUUUUGUGAACCUCGAGGCUGUACUUAAUACAGGCGUGAUGUGCUUAAAAGUAGCGGAGUGUGUUGUCUUGUUCCCAUGGAUGUUUUCUACCUAGGACAAUUAUUUCCAUAUUCAAGAUGCACAACUGCUGUGUUUGGAACUUGGUAGUUUUCCAACACUGCUUUUGGUCAUUGUUCCUUGCUUGGUUUGCCAACACACGUGGUAGAUUUGAAGUGUUACACCGGUAUACUUGAUUAGGUUAUUUAGGUGUUUCUUUUGUUUAUUCAUUUCUGUGUAAACUGAGCUACGGUUGUUUUGUCGUGUUUAUAAAAGUAUCC
RNA transcript from Rhipicephalus sanguineus (brown dog tick), 4313 nucleotides. It is a transcript of the gene named glycerophosphocholine phosphodiesterase GPCPD1, with no coding region annotated. The transcript has 16 exons. NCBI's taxonomy places the organism in Eukaryota, Metazoa, Arthropoda, Arachnida, Ixodida, Ixodidae. The record is from RefSeq and is a predicted model, not a curated record.